CAAAUAUUUAUACAUAAGUCUCUUAUCAGCAUUAUUAGAUUUGAUCUCAAAGAUGGAGGGUGAAGCCAUGUCCCACCGGGCGUGCCAUUUUGUCUGCCGCGAACGAACCGGCCCCGCCGUAGGUUGUUUCUAGGGCGAGUGGUCAUUCAUGGUAGAGAUAAAAUUUAUUUAUGUUUUAUUUUGAAAUCAGGAUUAUAGGUUCAUGGCUUCCAACAGACUCAAGAAUCUGCUGUUAAUUACCCCACACUUUCGGUGUUAAGGAACCCUCGAUUAAAAGACCAAAUAUAAAUGCUGAUAAUAAAAGAGACAAAACAGGCAAAUAACAUUUUAUUGAUA
Molecule: long non-coding RNA, 336 nt
Filed under: Ananas comosus (pineapple)
Lineage: Eukaryota; Viridiplantae; Streptophyta; Magnoliopsida; Poales; Bromeliaceae
Description: long non-coding RNA (ACOM_LNC007372)
Source: RNAcentral